UCUGGAGUUGGGGGGGCAGGAAGAUGGCGGCUCCCAGUGUUAGAGCCGCGAGACCCGGGCCGGAAGCGACGGCUGCGGCUGCCGAGCCGAGCGGGAUGAUGGUGCUGCCGGGGUUCAAGGAUGCGGACAGCUUCGUGAAGUUUGCUCUUGGUUCUGUGCUGGCUGCUACAAAAGCUUCCAAUGGGCUGCCACAGGCUGGAGAUGAGUAUGAUUUUUACCGAAGUUUUCCUGGCUUCAGGGCAUUCUGUGAAACGCAAGGAGAGAGGUUACUUCAAUGUAUGAGUAAGGUCAUGCAGUACCAAGGCUGUCGUAGCCACAUUAAGGACCGAAGUAAGGUGACUGAAUUGGAGGACAAGUUUGAUUUGCUGGUUGAUUCCAAUGAUGUUAUUCUUGAAAGAGUGGGUAUUCUCUUGGAUGAAGCAUCAGGAGUAAACAAGAAUCAGCAGCCUAUUCUCCCUGCAGGAAUGCAGGUUCCUAAAACAAUUGUGUCCAGCUGGAAUCGUAAGGCAGGAGAAUAUAACAAGAAAAAACAGUCUGAAACUUUCCGACUACUUCAUGCCAAGAACAUCAUGCGACCUCAGCUAAAGUUUCGAGAAAAGGUGGAUAAUUCCAACACACCAUUUGUCCCCAAAAUCUUCAUCAAGCCCAAUGCUCAGAAACCUCUGGCUCAGGCACUCACCAAGGAGAGACGUGAGCGACAAGAACGCCCUGAGGAUUUGGAUGUGCCACCUGCCUUAGCAGAUUUUCUCUAUCAGCAGAGAACUCAGCAGAUUGAGCAGGAUAUGUUUGCUCAUCCCUAUCAGUAUGAAUUGGAUCACUUUGCUCCACCAGAUGCAGUCCUUCAGAAGCCACAGAUUCAGAUGUACAGAUUUAUAGAAGAAACACCCUGCCAUUUUGUAUCUACCCUUGAUGAACUUGUGGAACUCAAUGAAAAACUCCUGAGUUGUAAAGACUUCGGUGUAGAUUUGGAGCACCACUCUUAUAGGAGCUUCCUAGGUUUGACAUGCCUCAUGCAGAUUUCCACCCGAACAGAGGACUUCAUUAUUGAUACCCUGGAACUUCGAUGUGACCUGUAUAUUCUCAAUGAGAGCUUCACAGAUCCAUCCAUUGUUAAGGUCUUCCAUGGUGCUGAUAUGGACAUCGAGUGGCUGCAGAAAGACUUUGGGCUGUAUGUGGUGAACAUGUUUGAUACCCACCAGGCAGCUCGUAUCCUCAACCUUGGCAGGCACUCCCUGGAUCACUUACUGAAGCUCUAUUGCAAUGUGGAAACCAACAAGCAGUAUCAGUUGGCUGACUGGAGGAUACGACCUUUGCCUGAGGAAAUGUUUAACUACGCACGCCAUGAUACUCAUUACCUCCUCUACAUCUAUGAUAAGAUGCGUUCAGACCUGUGGGAACGAGCAAAUGGGCAGCCAGCUCAGUUGCAGGUGGUGUGGCAGCGGAGCAAGGACAUUUGCCUCAAGAGGUUCAUCAAACCCAUUUUCACCGAAGAGUCGUACCUUGAGCUGUAUAGAAAGCAGAAGAAGCAUCUCAAUGCCCAGCAGCUCACAGCCUUUCAGUUGCUCUAUGCUUGGAGAGACAGAACAGCCCGUAGGGAAGAUGAGAGUUACGGCUAUGUCCUGCCCAACCACAUGAUGCUGAAGAUAGCUGAGGAGCUGCCCAAGGAACCUCAGGGUAUUAUUGCUUGUUGCAACCCUGUACCUCCUCUCGUGCGGCAGCAAAUCAAUGAAAUGCACCUUCUAAUUCAGCAGGCCCGAGAGAUGCCUCUGCUCAAGUCUGAAGUGGCAUCUGGAGUGAAAAAGAGCAGACCCCAGCCUGCUCCUGAGAGAAUAGAAAAUGCUUUAUUUGGACCUCAUGACUAUUCCCGUGCUCCUCCAGAUGAUUAUCUAAAUGUCACAGCCAUAGGACCUGGGCCACUUCAAAAAAGGGCAGCCCUCUUCUCUGACAAAGAUGAAGAUGAGACCUUCUCAGAUGCUGGCUGCCUUAUUGCUACUGCAGUCAUCACAUUAUUCAAUGAGCCUAGUGCUGACGAAGAGAGUGGAGGGAGGCUGACUACAGCACAGAAGAAGGCACGGAGCAUCAUGGAGUCCUUUGAAAAUCCAUUCAGGAUGUAUCUACCUUCAGAAGAGAAUCGUGCCUAUGUCUCACAGUCAGCAAAGUUUGACCCAAUGUCGAAAAUCUACGAAAUCAGUAAUCGUUGGAAGCUGGCAAGCCAGGUACAGAUCAAAAAAGAGGCCCAGGAAGCUUUGAGAAAGAAAGCAGAGCAGACGGCUGCCCGAGAAAAGGCAAAGGAAGGGUACAGAGCCGCCGCCCAGCAGGUCAUCUCAGUCCGGCAGCAAGCUUCGCUAGAAAAUGCCAAGAAGAGGGAAAGGAUGGGGAGCGAGCCAGGGAGCUUGGAACCCAAACAAGAGAAGAAGCGACUCAAAGCUUCCCAGCAGCCCCCAGAGCAGGAGCCACCCAAGGAGUUUACCCCCUAUGACUACAGCAAGUCAGACUUCAAAGCCUUUGCUGCAAACAGCAAACCCAAACAGUCAUCCCAGUUUGAUCCAAAUGUGCAGGACCCACCUGGCAAGAAAUGUGCUACAGUCGGGAAACCGAAGCAGCCAGCAGGAAACAGAAGCAAAUCUUUUGUGUCUGGAAAAUCAGAGAGAGGCUUCAGGUACAGCUGGCCAAAGAGAUAGUGUUUGCACCCCAGAGAAGGGAAGAGGAGUGCCUGGGGACCGGAGAGCGCUGCAGGGCCUCAGGGUUUUCAACCAAAUAGCACCUUGGAGUGGUCUUCUCUGUCGCUGCCAGGCUGGACAGCAGGAUGGCCCCGGGGACAGCUCUGAAGCAUGCUCUCACUUCAGGCAGUGGCCACGCUUCCCCCUCCCCGCCCACGGAGAGCACUCCAGCUUGGCAGACACCUCGCCCUGAUCCAGAGGAGAUUGUGUAGCUGUUUCCCAGCCUCAUGGUCAGUGUACGUUGUUACCUCCAGAGAGGGAGAGGGGCCCCUCUGGCUACCUGUGUCCCCUGAUGUGGGAGGGCUCCUGUGGGCGCUGUUGUCCUUUGGUCGUGGCCCAGGCCUUCUCAGUCUACAUAGAGACGCAGGGGUUUCCUGACCGAUGGUAUUCUCUGGACAGUCUGCCUUCCUUUCUAUGGGAAGGUGCUAGGUGGAGUGGGCUGGGGGCUGAUUGCAGGACAUGGCUUACCGGCCGCUGGUGUUCUCCCCAACUCCCACACACAAGAACCUGCUGUCAGCCCACUGUCACUGACUUCAUUAAGCCCUGGGCUAGAACCAGCCACUUAGCUGGGCACCGUGCUUAGAAGAGCAGCUGGAACCCAUUGGUUCCAUCAUUUAAUAAAACAUUUUUUGAAUUAAA
RNA transcript from Trichosurus vulpecula (common brushtail), 3359 nucleotides. It is a transcript of the gene named exosome component 10, with no coding region annotated. Lineage: Eukaryota; Metazoa; Chordata; Mammalia; Diprotodontia; Phalangeridae. The transcript has 26 exons. The record is from RefSeq and is a predicted model, not a curated record.